AUUGAACGCUGGCGGCAUGCCUUACACAUGCAAGUCGAACGGUAACAGGUCUUCGGAUGCUGACGAGUGGCGAACGGGUGAGUAAUACAUCGGAACGUGCCCAGACGUGGGGGAUAACGAGGCGAAAGCUUUGCUAAUACCGCAUACGAUCUAAGGAUGAAAGCAGGGGACCGCAAGGCCUUGCGCGUUUGGAGCGGCCGAUGGCAGAUUAGGUAGUUGGUGGGAUAAAAGCUUACCAAGCCGACGAUCUGUAGCUGGUCUGAGAGGACGACCAGCCACACUGGGACUGAGACACGGCCCAGACUCCUACGGGAGGCAGCAGUGGGGAAUUUUGGACAAUGGGCGAGAGCCUGAUCCAGCAAUGCCGCGUGCAGGAUGAAGGCCUUCGGGUUGUAAACUGCUUUUGUACGGAACGAAAAGGCUCUGGCUAAUACCUGGGGCACAUGACGGUACCGUAAGAAUAAGCACCGGCUAACUACGUG
RNAcentral lists this ribosomal RNA (482 nucleotides) under uncultured bacterium. RNAcentral describes it as "partial 16S ribosomal RNA". It matches the Rfam family "Bacterial small subunit ribosomal RNA", at positions 30 to 507 of the family's 1533-position model. The record is from RNAcentral.